This is a long non-coding RNA of Triticum aestivum (bread wheat), 2969 nucleotides long. RefSeq lists it as uncharacterized. The transcript has 6 exons. Lineage: Eukaryota; Viridiplantae; Streptophyta; Magnoliopsida; Poales; Poaceae. The record is from RefSeq and is a predicted model, not a curated record.
CAGCCGCCGCUCGCCGCUCGCCCGCUCGGCCCGCCCCCGCCUCGCGUAGCCGCCGCUCGCCCGCUCUGCCCGCGCCGGUGCCGCCCGCACCUGCCCGCUCGGCUACGCCGGCGCUGCCGCUCGCCCCCACCCCCGUCGGUGCCGCCGAGCGGCACCUCCGCAGGGGGGGCGGGCCGCAGCAGCACGCCCCCGACGCCUCGGCCUGGGACUGCCGGCGCUGCCCUGGGGUUGGGGUUGGGGUUGCUUACUGCCGACUCCGACGCCGUGGCCUCCGGUCCAGAUGUUGCUGCCUGCUGGACAUGCAAACUGAAUCCUCCGGUCUCCUCUCUCUUUUUUUCUUCGUCUGUAUUCAUCUAUACAAGAUUGAGGACAGGGCCUCUCAAUUGUCAGUGCCAUUAAGCACAAUGCUACUCAUUUGUUGCAUCUUCAAUUGUUAGCUUAAUAUAAUUCACAAGCUUCCCCGUUAUCUUCAAGAGGUUGAGUAGUGAUUUCAAACACAUUGUCUCUAUGCAAAGUAUAAGAUCGGCCAUGAAUUAUCCUCUUAUUACUGCCGCAGGAAAGAAAUUGGGGCAACUAUGUGUCACCUUUGUAGGCAUGAAUGUUAUACAAUUUGAUUGAUUUCACACACUCAGUAAAAGCAUACACCCUCAGUAAAUUAUAUACUGCUCGGUUUGAUUGAUUUCAUCUAUUUGUCAUUUCACACGCUUAGUAAAGUAUACACCCUCGGUAAAAUAUAUAGUGCUCAGUUUGAUUGAUUUCAUCUAUUUGUUAUUUCACUUUUUGGUUUUACGUGUUAACUUUAGUUUCAGUUGUGAGUUUUCAAGCACAACUAUUCCAAAUUGUUCUACUACUAUUUGAACGUGCUAUAAUGAUGUUUCAAUUGCUUGGCACCCGGCCGCUUGCCCGCUAGGCCCGCCCCCGCCAGUGCCGCCUGAGCCCCCGCCCGCACCCGCGAUGGCGGCCAUGUCCGUGGGUACUACCAAGGAGGCCGCAAGAGCCUGUACACUGUCGGCGAGCUGCCGUUCAGUACCAAGGAGUUUGAGGUCACCUUACCUGACAACAAGCCAGGUCCAUCUGAGCAAAGGAGGGAAUGCAAGUUCAAGGGGACCAUCGAGCGCACCACUCUGGUUAGCCUGCAACAGCUGCAGAUGCUCAUGGCCGGGAUCUCCAUGGACAUGCCGGUGCAGGCGCUGCAGUGGUCAUCAUCCGAACAAAUGCAGAUUUUUUUACUUUACUGGUUACUGAUUUCAUCAAGUAGAGACCAAGUGAACCAUUUGACGUCUUUCGAUUAUAUGUUCUUUUAUGCACUUGAUCCGUGAAUGAGGCUGAGGCUGGCUUGGGCAGAGACAGUCAGUCGCCUUCUGGAGCUAGAUGGAGAGCUUAUCACCUUCAUAUAUUUAGUGCUCGAUAUUGUGUUGCGCAAUAUUGUGCUCAACGAACGCAAUGGCAUGGGGCCAGUCUUUGUUCUCGCGGACCAUUGAGGAACCCAUCAAGUUAGGCCAGGGUAUCGAAGGAUGGAACGGGUUCUGCCAGAGCAUCAGACCUACCUGCAGUGGAUUGUUCCCUCAACAUAGACAUGUCAUCGACGGCUUUCGUUUGAGCUGUGUCGCUGACUAAUUUCAUUGGGGAGGUUCUUGACAAGAGAGAUCUCAUUUGUGGCAUUCAUGACUUGACUAUCUUAAGGUAUGCACAUUUUCGGAAUCAAAUGUAUCGCGACCAAGUUGCUGCUGUGGUGGUAUGGUAGGUUUUGUUUUCACAUUCCGCUGCAGAUUAAGAAGGCCCUCAGGGGUGUGAGAGUUGAGGCCGCCCACCGAAUUAUCGCCUGGCAAAACCAAGAGAGUGAGGGAGUACUUCAGAGAAACUUACAAGCUGCAACUACCUUGCAAUUUUCUCCCCUGCCUGCAAGUUACAGAGCAGAAACCCAACUAUCUUCCAAUGGAGGUUUGUGCAAAUGGAGUCCAAGUUGCUGUUGUGGUGUUAUGGUAAGACAACUCAACUCAUCGGUUGUGGCAAAAUGUUAUCCCUAAAAGUAAUAACUAAUUUGCAUAUAUGCUCUGGCUCUCUGUAUGAAUUAGGUGCCUCCAAAUAAGUUCUCAAAAAAAUAAAAAUACAAAAAUAAGUUGGUUCAGAAUCAGCAUGUGGAUCUUGUUGCAAUUGAUUGCGUCAGGUCUAGCUCGUUUCAUUGUAUUCUCUUUGUUCAUUAUUCAUGCUCUGCUACUUAUUGUCAUUUUUGGCCAAAUAAAACAGUGUGCUCAAGUAACAUUUUAGUUUUUCUUUUUUGCGAAAUAAUAUUUUUGUGGUUAAAACGAAAGAAACCAUUUUAUCACUCCAGUCCACGAGGACACAGAGAAAAAAAAAACAAAUCCACCAUAAUCUUGUCUUCCUACUUACUUUUACUAAACAAGAAAAAUAAACUACAAAGGAAUCUUCUAAAAAAUAGAUAAAAUAUCAUUUUUCAGAUUGAAAUGUACAACUCUCAACUUGUCUUUUACUUCUGUUAUGUGCAUGUUCAUCGUGCUGGAUGGUGUUGUACUUGUAAAUACCAGAAUUGCAGGCAAAACAAAGUAAUGGAUGGUCUACAAGAAUCUGGAUGAAUUCAUCUCCAUGGUAAAAUAAGCCAGCCAGCGUGCAUUCCAUUUGGUUGGAAAUAAUAUUGCCUUUGAAAUGUAUGAGUGAUUCUUGGCAUCUGACAUUGCUGAAUCCAACAUUGAUGUUGUCUUGUUACGCAUACCUUUGUAAAUUCUCUUGGGGAGAAAAUGUAUAAAUUGCAAUUUGCAACAUUGCCCCCAAAAUAGAUGAGGUUCACACAUAUAAUUAUGGAUUUGUGUAGUUUAUGAUCUCAGAGUUUUUGAAAGCACCAUUAAUGAUUUCUAUUUGUAUAGAGUAAACAAAAUGGCAUUCAACGCCUUUAAACCUAACUCUCAGUAGUUGUAAGAGCCUGGAAACGUGGUUUUGGACCUCCCAUGCUA